Helianthus annuus (common sunflower) is the source of this 649-nucleotide long non-coding RNA. RefSeq lists it as uncharacterized. Lineage: Eukaryota; Viridiplantae; Streptophyta; Magnoliopsida; Asterales; Asteraceae. The transcript is spliced from 4 exons. The record is from RefSeq and is a predicted model, not a curated record.
UUUAUUGAGUUUUCUUUUGCUUUUUGGCUCGAUUGAAGCCCUAAUUUGUUGUUAUUUCUGCUUUGGUUUUGAUUUCAAUGAUGGAUGUUUGAUUUGAGGAUUUGGAAAGGCAUAGCAAGUGUUUGAUGAAAUGUUAUUUAGGAGAUUUUGAAUAUUUUUUUUCGUGCAUGAGAAUCUUGUGAAUGAAGCACAACUUGAAAAAAAAGCAAACCCAGGGAGCUUCAAAAUAGAGUUAAUCAAAAGAGGCUAAAAUUACAGUCCACGGGGAAGGCGGAAGACGUGGCCGGAUUGUGUGGUGAUUUUUGAUAUUGAAAGGAAGAGUUUUGUGAUUUUGGAAGCUACCAGGUUGCAGAUUCCUAUUAUAGCGCUGGUGGACCUGAGUAUGCCGUUGGAGAGGUUUAAGAAGAUUACGUAUCCUGUUCGGGCGAAUGAUUCGGUGCAGUUUAUGUAUUUGUUUUGUAAUUUGAUUAUGAAAAACGAUCCAAUAUGAGCAGAAGAAGCUCGCUGCAGCUAAAGGGAACGUGGUUAAGGAAGUCGAGCCGAAAAUUGGUGAGGCGGCUUUACCGGCUGGUACGAUUAAGAUAGAUAGUGUAAAUGAUGAAUUGACGGUUCUAUCGUAUGAAGGGUUAUCUCCCGCUUUUGAUGGUAA